CAGAAUUUCUCAGAGUUAGUGGUGCUUCAAAUCGGUGUGGUCCCUCAAAUGGCAGGAUGUGGUUUUGUCUGUAGUGAAUCCGUGGUAACCACCUAUUUUUUACUUUUCACUGCAGUAAUUGUCUAUUUUACUUAGCAUUUGCCAUUUGUUUUUUUUAAGCUCGUGUUCUGAUUUUGUAAUAGAUUUAUGUUGUGAUAGAUGCAUGUUUACAAGGUUUGGAAGAUUGACGAGUAUGUUUCAUCGUGACAGGUAUUUUCUUGUAUUGAUUUUUAUGAAUCCUUAAACUUUGCCAAUUCUAUGCCUGAUUUGGAAGAUUGACGAGUAUGUUUCAUCGUGACAGGUAUUUUCUUGUAUUGAUUUUUAUGAAUCCUUAAACUUUGCCAAUUCUAUGCCUGACUUCAAUGUGCCAUGGCUUUGCAGGUUUUGUCAUGCCAUCCUCUUUGAUAAAUGAUGCUUAAUGGUUGGAUGUUACUACUGCCUUGUGAUGCAUUACAGGUUUUGUUUUUGAGACGAACUAGCUUAUGGUGACAUGACUAGUUAUGGACCAAGGUCUUUUCUUCAUGUGUCAUGAUGUUGUAACACGUCGGUACCUGUUUUAAACCUUGCGUAAUUAGUGCUUCUGCAGGUUGUGCUCUACUGAUAUAAUGAUGACAUUUGGUUACGCGACCGUUUGAGUUCGAUCUGGUAUGCGACUUAACGCAGGUUUUGCUGUGACCACUGAUGUGUUGCAGGAUGCUGAUUAACUCAUUCCUGUUGGUAAGCCUAUCAUUACCAUAGAGUUAAACCAUCUCUUUCAUUGUGUGGUAUGAUAACAUUACCGAUGUAUUCAGUCUGUGUUAGUAACCUACUGCAGGUCUGUGAACCUCGAAGUUUUUUCUCAGUUUUAUGUAUUCUAAAAUUUGGAUGCUGCAUUUUGCAGGUUGCAGUUUUUGACUGCUUGCGCAGAAAAUGUAUCUGUCCAAAAGUAGACUGUCACGCUGGAUUGUAAUCAUUGCAGGAUGCGUCACAUUUGGUAGGUUGCAGUUUCAUGUUAUUUUGGCUUGACUGAUUAUUGCAUGUUUUGGAUCGAUACACAUUGCUUGCCAAUUUCAGGUUGGUAAUUCGGAUGGAAGCAAGGCAGUGCAUACUGAUUGACUGAUCAAGGUGAACUGUUACCUUUGUGUUGCAGGUCAUGGCGUGCUUGCUAAAGGGUAGCAUGCGGCUAUUAUGCUGUUAGCUUUGGUUCUGCAGCCAAGAUUUCUUGCUGUUUAAAGGGAUAGUUUGAUGACCGUUGAUGUUAGCUAGUGAUGUGGUUCUGCAACAGCUUUGGUUGGCAGCGGUAUUGAUGACACAGGUGGUGCAAGUGAGAAAACUUGACAAG
This 1360-nucleotide long non-coding RNA is filed under the name Lathyrus oleraceus (garden pea). RNAcentral's name for it is "Pisum sativum (pea) long non-coding RNA (PSAT_LNC011804)". The record is from RNAcentral. Lineage: Eukaryota; Viridiplantae; Streptophyta; Magnoliopsida; Fabales; Fabaceae.